RNAcentral lists this ribosomal RNA (253 nucleotides) under uncultured bacterium. Its description in RNAcentral is "partial 16S ribosomal RNA". It matches the Rfam family "Bacterial small subunit ribosomal RNA", at positions 524 to 776 of the family's 1533-position model. The record is from RNAcentral.
UACGUAGGGUGCGAGCGUUAAUCGGAAUUACUGGGCGUAAAGCGUGCGCAGGCGGUUAGUUAAGUCUGAUGUGAAAGCCCCGGGCUCAACUUGGGAAUGGCGUUGGAAACUGGCUGGCUAGAGUGCGGCAGAGGGGGGUGGAAUUCCGCGUGUAGCAGUGAAAUGCGUAGAGAUGCGGAGGAACACCGAUGGCGAAGGCAGCCCCCUGGGCUGACACUGACGCUCAGGCACGAAAGCGUGGGGAGCAAAAGGG